Molecule: long non-coding RNA, 4594 nt
Organism: Oreochromis aureus
Lineage: Eukaryota; Metazoa; Chordata; Actinopteri; Cichliformes; Cichlidae
Source: Ensembl
AUCACAUCAGAGCUGAGCUGCUUUCAGACGACUCCGUCUUGUUGUGGAUGCUGAAGCUGAUCAUGGUUCUCCUGUGGAUGAUCCUGUUGGUGGUUCUGCUCUGUGCAGAGGCCGAGAAGGUGACCGAGGUCAGAGGAGAGCUGGGGACCAAUGUCACUCUAACCUGCUCCAAUCAGACAUCAGACCCACACUGGUACAUGGAGAUCCACAGUCAGUUCAGAGCAUGUAUCGGCCGCAGUUUUUCUUCAGCAGUCUCUACCUACUGCUCUCCUGGUUUUGAAUCCAAAUUUUCAAUCCUGAGAAACAAAAUUGUGAUUAAAAACUUCACAGCAGAGGACUGCAGGCUUUACUUCUGUGGCAUCAAGAGAGAUGGCAGCAUUCAUUUUGUGGAGACUUUCCACUUUUUGUUAGAUGCGUCUACCAGCAACCCACUGAAGGACUGCAUCAUGACUCAGUUCAUCCUCACGAUAUCCGUCUCAGUUGCCGCUGUCAUCAUUCUGAUAAUGGGUGGGGUUUUGAUACUGCUGUGUUCGAGGAAGAACAAAAGUAGCAAACAGGUGGAAGAGCCUUCAGCUCACAUCUACGAGAACGCAGAAACACUGUGGGCUAUUCAGGGCAAGGUGAUCCACCCCUACCGAGCAAGACAUCACUGAACGAGUUCUUUCAGACGCUACAAGACUUCAUUUGUUGUAUUUCACUGAAAAACAUACAAACAUUUGUGCACAUUUCUUCUCUGCAGCAAAUACAUUAAUUUUUUGCUAGUGCUGUAGAGCGUUAAUCUCGUUAAAAUGAUGUUAACGCCAUAACCGCGUUAACGCGACAAAUCUGCAUUAGCGAGUCAAUGUGGAUCGCCCCGUGCGUGGGGCUGCACAGCGUCAACGCAUAGAUUUGCCACGUCACUGCGGUUAUGGCGUUAACGUCAUUUUAACGAGAUUAAGGCUGACAGCACUACAUUUUGUAUAUUAUCAGGUUUGUUGGAAGACAUCUGUCCACUUGAGAUGUAAAACUUUCCAAUCAUAUGGAAAGGUGUGCGUUUUAAAAGAUAAACUAUAAGCUGCUGUCAAACCCUGUCAAGAUGGAAUCUGAAGGCAGACAAUGAUUCAAACUUGUGGGUUCAUUUUGCAGUAUUAGUACUAGGUGGAGGCAAUAACAGUAUUUAUGAUACUAACAGAAAUUUUAUAAAAUACACUGAGUAACAGUAGUAAAAGAAGUACAAACAUAGUUAAUGUCAACAUCAUAGGUAGUAGUUUUCGUUAAAGUUCUUGAAAAUGGAGCAGUAACCUAUUAAUAGAUGUAGUAAAGUCUACGUUUGUGGUAGAACUGAUGCAGUAGUAAUAACAGCAAGGAUUAUGGGUAGUUUUUGCAGGAAUUUUAUAGCGUUACUGUCAGACAGGAUGGGGUUGGUGGGUAAAACGUUUCCUGACUUCUUCUUUUCUGCAAAGAUUCUGGCAACGCCUGAAGAAAAAGUAGAAAAGAGGAAAUAAUUUGAAGUGCUAAUUUUACAAACGUUUCCAGGGAAAUAUGGCUACUCUGCAUGACUUCACCAUUAAAAUCCUACUGUCAUCACUUCUUCUGCACACAACGAUGUGGCUGAAUUUAACUUUAAAGUCUUCACUCUCAGAAACAGCCAAAUGUAUUAGAUGUGCUGAGUGUGUUGGGAGGUUCUUCAGAACCACUGAGGUAUCUGACGUACCACAUCUUUUGGUGUGCAGCUGAUCACUUAUGUAACAGAUGGUCCCUACAGUCAUGUGUAAAAACUAGAUUUUUGCCUUGAAUAAGAGUUUAUAACUCUGUCAGGCUGGAGAUGGAGGGCAGACCUUUCUUCUUAUUUGACUGUUUCAGUAUUGGCUUUUGUACCAGACGUUUUACAGUCAUAGCAGUAACAGUAACUACUGUACUGUUUGUACUUCUGCUUUUGGUUUUCUCUUAUUGUUAGCAAUAUAGAUGGUAGCAGGAUUUGUAAUGAUUAUAGUAAAUGUUGCAGUAACUUACUAAUAGAUGUAGAAAAGGCUGCCCUAGAAGUAGUAAUACCCUUGGUUAAGGGUAGUUGUAGCACAGGACCUGUAAAACCAUGCAAAUAGUAUAAAAUGGAGUUUGUCUUUGACUCAUUUGUCUGUUUCCACUUGUUUGUUUCACUGUGCAAUUUAAAAAAUGUAAAUGGAGUCAAAUGUUUUAUACUUUUUACUUAAUUUAAUUUAUAUUUAACUAUCUUUUUUUUAUUUUCAAGUCACUUUCUUUUCAGUAUCAGCUAUGAGCUGUUGUUAAGGGAAGAUUUACGAUGUUCAGAAAAUACAUUAUGAUCCGAGCAGAAUUUCAUUUUUUUUUCCAUUUUCAUUUUCUUUCAAUUUGUAUUUUAAGUUCAGUUUAAUGUCAUUUCUCUGUGAUUUACCAUCUCAACACUUACAUUUCCUCUUACUAAUAACAUCUCUGAUACAUACAUAUGAUGCAGAGUAGUUUGCAAAGAAAUCCUUAAUAACGGAGAGCUCCUGUAAUGCCUGAUUUAUUAAAACAAGUUAAACAGGUUCAGACUGCACCAGCGUCUCUGAGAAAUUAACUGGCAGAAUGAAUGCACAAAGUUUAACCAUUUUUCUGUAAAUGUUACCAGUUAGUCAUGCAACCCUUUUAAUUACAUUUUUUAAAUUGUAUAUAUCAAGAUUUAUGCUUGAACUGCUGAGUUGUUGGUUUUUUUUUUUAGAUAAAUGAUGACAGGAAAUCCAAAUUACAAGCACCUGAUUUCACAGAACGUGACGCAUUGCCUGAAAUUAAACAGCAUAGAAAAUGUUUAAAGUGAGCUCAGGCUUACACAUCUGCAGCAGUAAUAUUAAUCAUAUUAAUAUAUUAAUAAUCCAUGAAAUCCAUUUCAUAAUAAUUCACAAUAUACAGCUACAGUUACAUGUGUAGUGGGUUUUUCAUAGUGUUUUUUUGUUAUUUUUAUUUAAAAUAAUCCUCUACCUUUUGACUGUCAUGGAUUUGCGGUGUAGCAGGCAGGAUGUAGGACUCAUAAAUAAAGAGUGAACUAAAAGAGGCAGCUUUAUAUUGGCUGUAAAUGACUCUUCACACAUACAGGAAACAAAACCAAAAGCAAGGAACUAGAAAUAUGAACUUGAAUCAAAACACUAUUAAACUUGGACACUAAGGAACUAAACUGGGAAACAGAGAGCUAGAAAACUACGAAGAGCACGGAGGAAAAAACACACAGCAAAGAGGAUGUCCACGAGGGUUACAGACGUGACAACAAGCAGCGGAAGACUGAGGACUAAAAUACACAGGCAGGCUAACGAGAGGAUGGGGAACAGGAAGAACACAUCGGGGACUAAUCUGACGUGAUGAGACAGGGGAAAAGCAAAACUCCAAAACACUGAACAAGCAAAGUAACACAGGAAGCAUGACACAUAGACGUGGACUUGACACUGAGACACAGAAACAUGACAGACUCGGGAACAGCGGGAACAUGAAGCACAGAGACAAGACCUGGGACACAGGAAAGACAUGAAGACAAAACUAAGACUGGGCAUAUAACACAAAACUAUAAUACAAAACUCAAAGAGUAUAACUAAACCCAAAAAACACAAACACUGGGCAGCCAGACCCAGUGCCCUGUCAUUGACAUUGUCUGCUAGUGGCAAAUUUUAGGCUGAUCACUGUAGAAGUGACAGAUUUUACAGUUUGUCAGCCAAGGAAGGAGUGCAGCAAGCUUUCAUGUUUCUCUUGCUUUCUUUCAUGUAAAAGUUUGUUCCUCAUUUCUUCUUUUACUUCCUAUAAAGGUUAUUGCAUGCCACUGGUAGUACCAGAGGGUGCAUGCUUGUGUUUCAUGUUGUAGCAGUAUUAUGGUACUCUUUACAUUACUUGAAGUGUCGGAUCACAUAACAAUUGGACUUAAUGUUACAUUUUGAAAUAAAUACUAUAGUUAAAUGUAUAGAAAUGUGAGUUUUUCUCAGGACUGGAUUGGGACAAAAAAAUCGGACCACACAUUUUGGUCUAGAUUCCCCCCCAAAAGAGAGAUAUUUAUUAAAACUCAGGCGGUGUGAUUUUUUUUUUUUUUUUACAACUUCCUCCAUCUCUUCCCCCUGAACUUCUCCAAAGCAACGAGGGACAGCGAUGGCUUGUUACUAGUUGUUAACCUUCACUGUGAUGAGCUCUGAAACCUGAAUAAAACUCAGUAAGCAGUUUUAGAACUACUCUGUCACGAAAUUUUGAGAUGAAAGUGAUGUUAAAGAUUGGCCUGUAAUUAGCUAAGAUGGCUGUUUCAAAGUGAUGGCUUUUUAAGAAAUUAUUUAAUUAUUGCCAGCUUUAACUCCUGUGGCACAUAGCCCAUUAAUACAUAUAAUAUUUAAGAUUGAAGCAUUAAUUAAUGGUGGAACUUCUUUGAGCAGUCUUGUACUAAGCGGAGUUCCCCCGCUUAGUACAUCUGUACUGGAUAGUGAUGCACCGUAGCUCCUUUCCAAAAUUCUCUCCAUUCAUCCUUUAUAUCAGCUAAACCAAGUAAAAAAAAUGCACAUGCCAAAUUUAUUUACAGAGCAAAUUCCAUUACAUGUAAACUCAAUGUGUGCACCAAGAGAUAAAAACAUAAACUAUAUAGGUCUACAGUGUCUCA